GACGAACGCUGGCGGCGUGCUUAACACAUGCAAGUCGAACGGAAAGGCCCUGCUUUUGUGGGGUGCUCGAGUGGCGAACGGGUGAGUAACACGUGAGUAACCUGCCCUUGACUUUGGGAUAACUUCAGGAAACUGGGGCUAAUACCGGAUAGGAGCUCCUGCUGCAUGGUGGGGGUUGGAAAGUUUCGGCGGUUGGGGAUGGACUCGCGGCUUAUCAGCUUGUUGGUGGGGUAGUGGCUUACCAAGGCUUUGACGGAUAGCCGGCCUGAGAGGGUGACCGGCCACAAUGGGACUGAGAUAGGGCGCAGACUCGUACGGGAGGCAGCAGUGGGAAGUAUUGCACAGUGGGCGGAAGCCUGAUGCAGCAGCGCCGCGUGCGGGAUGACGGCCUUCGGGUUGUGAACCGCUUUCGCCUGUGACGAAGCGUGAGUGACGGUAAUGGAUAAAGAAGCACCGGCUAACUACGUG
RNAcentral lists this ribosomal RNA (468 nucleotides) under uncultured bacterium. RNAcentral describes it as "partial 16S ribosomal RNA". It matches the Rfam family "Bacterial small subunit ribosomal RNA", at positions 28 to 507 of the family's 1533-position model. The record is from RNAcentral.